GCAUUUCCAGUUUUGGUCUUUGGUAAAGGUCCAACGCAGUCAAUUAGAACUCUGCUGAAAGGUUCGUCAAAGGCUGGAAUAGGCAGAAGUGGUGCUGGUGGUAUUUUCUGGUUAGGCUUACCAACAACCUGGCAUAUAUGGACAUGAUUUGCAGUAUUCUGCGACAUCAUUUCUAAGUCUUGGCCAGUAGAAAUGCUGCAAGAUCUUAAGGCAAGUCUUCCUUAUACCUAAGUG
RNAcentral lists this long non-coding RNA (234 nucleotides) under Mytilus galloprovincialis (Mediterranean mussel). Lineage: Eukaryota; Metazoa; Mollusca; Bivalvia; Mytilida; Mytilidae. The record is from RNAcentral.